UUAUAUUUUCAGGCGAAAACUCGAAAUCGAUUUCCAUUGAAAUAGUACAUAAAAAAUAACAAGGAAGGCAGAAAACAAAAAGCAAGAGGGAGAAUAACCAAAUCUGGUAUAUUAUUGAAUAAUUAUUUAUAAAACUAUUACACAACGUAAACAAGAAGAAAAAAAUCCGUAUACACUUUUUAAUUUAUUAUAAACGGCUCUAUUUAUUAUAUAAUAUCCCAACUGUCUACGGAAGUAAUCAAGGUGUUCAUCAGUAAUGUGUGAUUUACCCGCUUUCCACGGAGCUCCUCAGGU
RNAcentral lists this long non-coding RNA (294 nucleotides) under Octopus vulgaris (common octopus). Lineage: Eukaryota; Metazoa; Mollusca; Cephalopoda; Octopoda; Octopodidae. The record is from RNAcentral.